Molecule: ribosomal RNA, 49 nt
Filed under: Diapensia himalaica
Lineage: Eukaryota; Viridiplantae; Streptophyta; Magnoliopsida; Ericales; Diapensiaceae
Description: partial 5.8S ribosomal RNA
Source: RNAcentral
UUGCGCCCGAAGCCGUCAGGCCGAGGGCACGUCUGCCUGGGCGUCUCAC